UGAGUCCUACGGGGCGCAGCAGUGAGGAAUAUUGGUCAAUGGUCGGGAGACUGAACCAGCCAAGCCGCGUGAGGGAGGAAGGUACAGAGUAUCGUAAAUCUCUUUUGUCAGGGAACAAAGGCGGGGACGUGUCCCCGGAUGAGUGUACCUGAAGAAAAAGCAUCGGCUAACUCCGUGCCAGCAGCCGCGGUAAUACGGAGGAUGCGAGCGUUAUCCGGAUUUAUUGGGUUUAAAGGGUGCGCAGGCGGUCUGUUACGUCAGCGGGCAAAGCCCUGGGCUCAACCCCG
RNAcentral lists this ribosomal RNA (287 nucleotides) under uncultured bacterium. RNAcentral's name for it is "partial 16S ribosomal RNA". It matches the Rfam family "Bacterial small subunit ribosomal RNA", at positions 333 to 617 of the family's 1533-position model. The record is from RNAcentral.